GCGCAUUGUGACUGAACCCUUUUGGUCUCUUCUAUGGCUGAUAGGGUCAAGAUACAAUGCUAAAGCAUAAUCAGGCCUGCUCAUAACUGGGGCAUUCUGGUUGUAUUCCCAGGUCGCUCUUUUAAAAGCGAGCCACAAAU
Nerophis lumbriciformis (worm pipefish) is the source of this 140-nucleotide non-coding RNA. Lineage: Eukaryota; Metazoa; Chordata; Actinopteri; Syngnathiformes; Syngnathidae. The record is from RefSeq and is a predicted model, not a curated record.